GACGAACGCUGGCGGCGUGCCUAAUACAUGCAAGUUGAGCGCUGAAGGUUGGUACUUGUACCGACUGGAUGAGCAGCGAACGGGUGAGUAACGCGUGGGGAAUCUGCCUUUGAGCGGGGGACAACAUUUGGAAACGAAUGCUAAUACCGCAUAAAAACUUUAAACACAAGUUUUAAGUUUGAAAGAUGCAAUUGCAUCACUCAAAGAUGAUCCCGCGUUGUAUUAGCUAGUUGGUGAGGUAAAGGCUCACCAAGGCGAUGAUACAUAGCCGACCUGAGAGGGGGAUCGGCCACAUUGGGACUGAGACACGGCCCAAACUCCUACGGGAGGCAGCAGUAGGGAAUCUUCGGCGAUGGACGAAAGUCUGACCGAGCAACGCCGCGUGAGUGAAGAAGGGUUUCGGAUCGUAAAAAUCUGUUGGUAGAGAAGAACGUUGGUGAGAGUGGAAAGCUCAUCAAGUGACGGUAACUACCCAGAAAGGGACGGCUAACUACGUG
This 497-nucleotide ribosomal RNA is filed under the name uncultured bacterium. RNAcentral's name for it is "partial 16S ribosomal RNA". It matches the Rfam family "Bacterial small subunit ribosomal RNA", at positions 28 to 507 of the family's 1533-position model. The record is from RNAcentral.